RNAcentral lists this unclassified non-coding RNA (240 nucleotides) under Astrocystis mirabilis. Its description in RNAcentral is "partial contains 5.8S ribosomal RNA, internal transcribed spacer 2, and large subunit ribosomal RNA". Lineage: Eukaryota; Fungi; Ascomycota; Sordariomycetes; Xylariales; Xylariaceae. The record is from RNAcentral.
CGCACAUUGCGCCCAUUAGUAUUCUGAUGGGCAUGCCUGUUCGAGCGUCAUUUCAAUCCCUUAAGCCCUGCUGCUUAGUGUUAGGGACCGCUAUAAUAGCGCCCCCCAAAGAUAUUGGCGGAGUCGUUUAGGGCUCUCAGCGUAGUAAUUCUUCUCGCUUUAGAGUACUGACGGCGCUUGCCACAACACAUACAUUUCAAGUUUGACCUCGGAUCAGGUAGGAAUACCCGCUGAACUUAA